CAGCCGCCACGGGAAUACGUAGGGUGCAAGCGUUAAUCGGAAUUACUGGGCGUAAAGCGUGCGCAGGCGGUCCGCUAAGACAGAUGUGAAAUCCCCGGGCUUAACCUGGGAACUGCAUUUGUGACUGGCGGGCUAGAGUAUGGCAGAGGGGGGUAGAAUUCCACGUGUAGCAGUGAAAUGCGUAGAGAUGUGGAGGAAUACCGAUGGCGAAGGCAGCCCCCUGGGCCAAUACUGACGCUCAUGCACGAAAGCGUGGGGAGCAAACAGGAUUAGAUACCCCUGUAGUCCCUGUCUCUUAUAC
RNAcentral lists this ribosomal RNA (301 nucleotides) under uncultured bacterium. Its description in RNAcentral is "partial 16S ribosomal RNA". It matches the Rfam family "Bacterial small subunit ribosomal RNA", at positions 509 to 807 of the family's 1533-position model. The record is from RNAcentral.